Molecule: ribosomal RNA, 473 nt
Filed under: uncultured bacterium
Lineage: Bacteria
Description: partial 16S ribosomal RNA
Rfam family: Bacterial small subunit ribosomal RNA (bases 20-300)
Source: RNAcentral
AGCGAACGCUGGCGGCAGGCCUAACACAUGCAAGUCGAACGAACCUUUCGGGGUUAGUGGCGGACGGGUGAGUAACACGUGGGAACGUGCCUUUAGGUUCGGAAUAACUCAGGGAAACUUGUGCUAAUACCGAAUGUGCCCUUCGGGGGAAAGAUUUAUCGCCUUUAGAGCGGCCCGCGUCUGAUUAGCUAGUUGGUUGAGGUAAUGGCUCACCAAGGCGACGAUCAGUAGCUGGUCUGAGAGGAUGAUCAGCCACAUUGGGACUGAGACACGGCCCAAACGACGGGGGGAGGGGGAGGGGAGGAGUGCGGCGGAAGGGGAGAAAGAGGGCGGCAGACUGGGGGGGAGAAUGAGGGAGGUUGUAGGGUAGUAAAAUGUUGUCGCGGGGAAAGAAGAGGGCGGUGCGGGGAGAAACCGCCCCGGUAAACUGGGGGCCAGACGGCGAGGUAAUAGGGCAAGACCACGCGCCUCAA